AUUGAACGCUGGCGGCAUGCCUUACACAUGCAAGUCGAACGGCAGCACGGGAGCAAUCCUGGUGGCGAGUGGCGAACGGGUGAGUAAAGUAUCGGAACGUACCUUUCAGUGGGGGAUAACGUAGCGAAAGUUACGCUAAUACCGCAUAUUCUGUGCGCAGGAAAGCAGGGGAUCGCAAGACCUUGCGCUGAUUGAGCGGCCGAUAUCAGAUUAGCUAGUUGGUGAGGUAAAGGCUCACCAAGGCGACGAUCUGUAGCGGGUCUGAGAGGAUGAUCCGCCACACUGGAACUGAGACACGGUCCAGACUCCUACGGGAGGCAGCAGUGGGGAAUUUUGGACAAUGGGGGCAACCCUGAUCCAGCCAUGCCGCGUGAGUGAAGAAGGCCUCGG
This 390-nucleotide ribosomal RNA is filed under the name uncultured bacterium. RNAcentral's name for it is "bacterial SSU rRNA". It matches the Rfam family "Bacterial small subunit ribosomal RNA", at positions 30 to 420 of the family's 1533-position model. The record is from RNAcentral.